Molecule: ribosomal RNA, 442 nt
Filed under: uncultured bacterium
Lineage: Bacteria
Description: bacterial SSU rRNA
Rfam family: Bacterial small subunit ribosomal RNA
Source: RNAcentral
UGGGGAAUAUUGCACAAUGGGCGCAAGCCUGAUGCAGCCAUGCCGCGUGUAUGAAGAAGGCCUUCGGGUUGUAAAGUACUUUCAGCGGGGAGGAAGGGAGUAAAGUUAAUACCUUUGCUCAUUGACGUUACCCGCAGAAGAAGCACCGGCUAACUCCGUGCCAGCAGCCGCGGUAAUACGGAGGGUGCAAGCGUUGUCCGGAUUUACUGGGUGUAAAGGGCGUGCAGCCGGGCGCUUAAGUCAGAUGUGAAAUCCGCGGGCUUAACCCGCGAACUGCAUUUGAAACUGAGCGUCUUGAGUAUCGGAGAGGUCAUCGGAAUUCCCUUGUGUAGCGGUGAAAUGCGUAGAUAUAAGGAAGAACACCAGUGGCGAAGGCGGAUGACUGGACGACAACUGACGGUGAGGCGCGAAAGCGUGGGGGAGCAAACAGGAUUAGAUACCC